ACGUUAUACUACAUGUAGUAUAACGUAAUCAGAGAUCAAUAUUUUAAUUAAAAUAUUGAUCUCUGAUUACGUUAUACUACAUGUAGUAUAACG
This 93-nucleotide small RNA is filed under the name Mytilus galloprovincialis (Mediterranean mussel). The record is from RNAcentral. Lineage: Eukaryota; Metazoa; Mollusca; Bivalvia; Mytilida; Mytilidae.